ACAGCCCAAAGCGACCGACGGAGAUGGAGGACGCGGCUGCUUGCAGCUCGCUUACUCCAAACGAGCUAAGAAGUUUCCAGCAUCCUACGAAGAAGCUACGUGCGACAAGCGUCAGAGUGAAAAAGCUGCCAGCGACACCGACGAGCUACGAAGGAUUGCCAGUCGACGUCGAAAUGUCCAGCGAUACAGCGAGCGAAAUCGAAAGUUCGGCUUCGCAAAAUCGAUCGUCGUUGCCAAAGCGACAGCGUGUCCCAGUAAUCGUCAUUCGAGAGAUGCACCGAUGGACAACAUUAGCAGGCCUGCUAGCGAGACACAACGUGAAAUUUCUGAAGGCCAGUAACAUAGCAGACGGGAUAAGCGUCCAUUCCGAAACCAUCAUGAACUACAGGAACAUGAUAAAGCUGCUGAAGCAAGAGACCGUCGAGCACCACACGUACUUGCUUCAAGAAGACAAAAACCGUUGAAGGUGGUACUUCGCGGUAUCCCGACAGACAUCCAGACUGCAGAUGUAACAGAAGACUUGAUGGCGCAGGGUUUUAACGUCGGAAACGUCGUCAGGAUGACUAGCGUAGAGACGCCACGACAACGGACCAGUGCCACCGAUGCCAACGUUUCGGGCAUCCACACAGGAAUUGCACGUCAACCACCACGGCCCAACUUUUUCAUACAACACUGGUGUUUUAUUGUUGUGUUUACGGUUGCUCUAAUACCAACCGGGAUGUUCCCAUGCAUAUGUCUCCUAAAGACGAAAUGCGUUAUCAACUGCGGAUUGGCCGUGCUGACUUCCUACAGAAACCGAUGAACUAUGUAAGGAGAUAAUAUCGCGUCUGUCACAUCCACUUCGGAGCAGACCGUAAAGCAGGAUGGCGUUCCGACGUUAUUGUUGCCAAGCGCUCCUGCAGAGAGAGGUAACUAAUAUCUUUUUCAAUAAUCAAUCUCUGCAUACAUUGUUAUUGAGCGUACAUUAAGAAUUGAAAUAUAUUAAUAUUUUCUUGCGGUUAAUGACUUAAUGCCUUCGUUUUUACAAAGGAGUGCAUGUACUUCUGUACUGAGACAUAUCACUUGAGAAGCUUUUCUUCCGCAUACUGCUGUAUUUCCGUAUAAAGUCUCAUAUGGAUAUGUUGCUGUAAUUUUUUUGUUUUCACAAAUGUCCCACAUACCGACGCCACAUCCGCCGAUUCCUACAGACUACUACCGACAACGGCGUCUGUAAU
Long non-coding RNA from Agrilus planipennis (emerald ash borer), 1214 nucleotides. RefSeq lists it as uncharacterized. Lineage: Eukaryota; Metazoa; Arthropoda; Insecta; Coleoptera; Buprestidae. The transcript is spliced from 4 exons. The record is from RefSeq and is a predicted model, not a curated record.